UACGUAGGGUGCGAGCGUUGUCCGGAAUUAUUGGGCGUAAAGAGCUCGUAGGCGGCUUGGUAAGUCGGGUGUGAAACCUCCAGGCUCAACCUGGAGACGCCACUCGAUACUGCCAUGGCUAGAGUCCGGUAGGGGCCCACGGAAUUCCUGGUGUAGCGGUGAAAUGCGCAGAUAUCAGGAGGAACACCAAUAGCGAAGGCAGCUCGCUGGGACGUUACUGACACUGAGGCGCGAAAGCGUGGGGAGCGAACAGG
This 254-nucleotide ribosomal RNA is filed under the name uncultured bacterium. Its description in RNAcentral is "partial 16S ribosomal RNA". It matches the Rfam family "Bacterial small subunit ribosomal RNA", at positions 524 to 776 of the family's 1533-position model. The record is from RNAcentral.